Molecule: ribosomal RNA, 451 nt
Filed under: uncultured Streptococcus sp.
Lineage: Bacteria; Bacillati; Bacillota; Bacilli; Lactobacillales; Streptococcaceae
Description: bacterial SSU rRNA
Rfam family: Bacterial small subunit ribosomal RNA
Source: RNAcentral
GCGGUGGAGCAUGUGGUUUAAUCGAAGCAACGCGAAGAACCUUACCAGGUCUUGACAUCCCCUGACAACCCGGGAGAUCGGGCGUCCCCUUCGGGGGACAGGGUGACAGGUGGUGCAUGGUUGUCGUCAGCUCGUGUCGUGAGAUGUUGGGUUAAGUCCCGCAACGAGCGCAACCCUCGACCUUAGUUGCCAGCAUUCAGUUGGGCACUCUAGCGAGACUGCCGGUAAUAAACCGGAGGAAGGUGGGAUGACGUCAAAUCAUCAUGCCCCUUAUGACCUGGGCUACACACGUGCUACAAUGGUUGGUACAACGAGUUGCGAGUCGGUGACGGCGAGCUAAUCUCUUAAAGCCAAUCUCAGUUCGGAUUGUAGGCUGCAACUCGCCUACAUGAAGUCGGAAUCGCUAGUAAUCGCGGAUCAGCACGCCGCGGUGAAUACGUUCCCGGGCCUU